UUAAAUUGAAGAGUUUGAUCAUGGCUCAGAUUGAACGCUGGCGGCAGGCCUAACACAUGCAAGUCGAGCGGAAACGAGUUAUCUGAACCUUCGGGGAACGAUAACGGCGUCGAGCGGCGGACGGGUGAGUAAUGCCUAGGAAAUUGCCCUGAUGUGGGGGAUAACCAUUGGAAACGAUGGCUAAUACCGGAUCAGUCCUACGGAC
RNAcentral lists this ribosomal RNA (205 nucleotides) under Vibrio parahaemolyticus. Its description in RNAcentral is "partial 16S ribosomal RNA". It matches the Rfam family "Bacterial small subunit ribosomal RNA", at positions 1 to 187 of the family's 1533-position model. The record is from RNAcentral. Lineage: Bacteria; Pseudomonadati; Pseudomonadota; Gammaproteobacteria; Vibrionales; Vibrionaceae.